Molecule: small RNA, 742 nt
Filed under: Oryza sativa Japonica Group (Japanese rice)
Lineage: Eukaryota; Viridiplantae; Streptophyta; Magnoliopsida; Poales; Poaceae
Description: sRNA Os12g0560067
Source: RNAcentral
UCAAAUGGAGAUGCUGUUGGGGAUGCCCAUCUCCAUCACCGACGACAUGUCCUUGGGGUCACCAUAGCACGGCUUUAGCAGCACAUAUGGCACCACACCAGGGCCCCACCGGUUCCUCCGCUCCGGAUCCCUGUUCCGGCGGUCGAUCGUCUCCGCGAUCCUCAUCAUCCUCUCGUUGAACCUCCCGAACGCCGCCCUCACCUCCCUGUUUGCCAUCCACGCCGCCUCCGUGUGCGUGCCCAUGUACUCCUCGCUUGGCGAGUGCGACGACAACAGGUUGAGCGCUGGCAAGAUGAGGGUAGUCUGGUACUGCGACGGGAACGUGUCCAGCAAAACCCUGACAGGAUCCUCAACGAAUGUCGGUUGCAUGCCCUCGCACCCGUGCUCCUCCUCCGUCGGCAUGUUUCGCCGCGCGAUGGUGGGACGGUUGGGGAAGUAGCCGGCGUAGGGGUACUGGCCGAAGUUCACCGCUGCGUGGUGCCCCGAUGCGACCCAAAUAAUGGUGGUCAGGACCUUGAUGAGGCUCCCAUGGCAGUCCAGCUCUGGCCAUCCGUCCUUCUUGUCCGGGUGGCCAUUCGUUUGCACCUCGUUCCACCAACCAUGGAGCUCCUCAUCAGAGUAAAUGUCCGACGCUGACGGGUAGUAAUGGUUCACAUGGUCUGACACCCACUCCUUGAUAGAGUCCCAGACGAGCAGGCCGUCGUUGGCAUACGGGUAGUCCUCUAUCGUUAGCUUCAGCUUG